AUACUUACCUGGCAGGGGAGAUACCAUGAUGCACGAAGGUGGUUUUCCCAGGGCGAGGCUUAUCCAUUGCACUCCCGGAUGUGCUGACCCCUGCGAUUUCCCAAAUGUGGGAAACCUCGACUGCAUAAUUUGUGGUAGUGGGGGACUGCGUUCGCGCUUUCCCCUG
RNAcentral lists this small nuclear RNA (166 nucleotides) under Macaca nemestrina (pig-tailed macaque). RNAcentral's name for it is "U1 spliceosomal RNA (ENSMNEG00000001615.1)". It matches the Rfam family "U1 spliceosomal RNA". Rfam says of the family: U1 is a small nuclear RNA (snRNA) component of the spliceosome (involved in pre-mRNA splicing). Its 5' end forms complementary base pairs with the 5' splice junction, thus defining the 5' donor site of an intron. The record is from Rfam by way of RNAcentral. Lineage: Eukaryota; Metazoa; Chordata; Mammalia; Primates; Cercopithecidae.